GGAAAGAUGGUCGAGCGGUCGAAGGCGCACGCCUGGAGCGCGUGUGACGGGGUUCCCCGUCCGUGGGUUCAAAUCCCACUCUUUCCGCCA
This 90-nucleotide transfer RNA is filed under the name Tepiditoga sp. Its description in RNAcentral is "tRNA-Ser". It matches the Rfam family "tRNA". Rfam says of the family: Transfer RNA (tRNA) molecules are approximately 80 nucleotides in length. Their secondary structure includes four short double-helical elements and three loops (D, anti-codon, and T loops). RNAcentral also lists the same sequence under 1 other name. Lineage: Bacteria; Thermotogati; Thermotogota; Thermotogae; Petrotogales; Petrotogaceae. The record is from RNAcentral.